Molecule: ribosomal RNA, 433 nt
Filed under: uncultured bacterium
Lineage: Bacteria
Description: partial 16S ribosomal RNA
Rfam family: Bacterial small subunit ribosomal RNA
Source: RNAcentral
AACGAACGCGGGCGGCAUGCCUAACACAUGCAAGUCGAACGAUGCCUUCGGGCAUAGUGGCGCACGGGUGCGUAACGCGUGGGAAUCUGCCUUUCGGUUCGGAAUAACUCAGGGAAACUUGAGCUAAUACCGGAUAACGUCGCAAGACCAAAGAUUUAUCACCGAAAGAUGAGCCCGCGUAGGAUUAGCUAGUUGGUGAGGUAAAGGCUCACCAAGGCGACGAUCCUUAGCUGGUCUGAGAGGAUGAUCAGCCACACUGGGACUGAGACACGGCCCAGACUCCUACGGGAGGCAGCAGUGGGGAAUAUUGGACAAUGGGCGAAAGCCUGAUCCAGCAAUGCCGCGUGAGUGAUGAAGGCCUUAGGGUUGUAAAGCUCUUUUACCCGGGAAGAUAAUGACGGUACCGGGAGAAUAAGCCCCGGCUAACUCCGUG